Molecule: ribosomal RNA, 253 nt
Filed under: uncultured bacterium
Lineage: Bacteria
Description: partial 16S ribosomal RNA
Rfam family: Bacterial small subunit ribosomal RNA
Source: RNAcentral
UACGUAGGGUGCAAGCGUUGUCCGGAAUUAUUGGGCGUAAAGGGCUCGUAGGCGGUCUGUCACGUCGGGAGUGAAAACACGGGGCUUAACCCCGUGCCUGCUUCCGAUACGGGCAGACUAGAGGUAUGCAGGGGAGAACGGAAUUCCUGGUGUAGCGGUGAAAUGCGCAGAUAUCAGGAGGAACACCGGUGGCGAAGGCGGGUCUCUGGGCCGAUACUGACACUGAGGAGCGAAAGCGUGGGGAGCGAACAGG